Molecule: ribosomal RNA, 108 nt
Filed under: Caerostris darwini
Lineage: Eukaryota; Metazoa; Arthropoda; Arachnida; Araneae; Araneidae
Source: RNAcentral
CCAUACCAUGCUGAAUAUACCGGUUCUCGUUAGAUCACUGAAGUCAAGCAUCAUUGGGCGCUGUCAAUACUUGGGUGGGGGACCACCUGGGAACACCGCGUGCUGUUG